This 440-nucleotide ribosomal RNA is filed under the name uncultured bacterium. RNAcentral's name for it is "partial 16S ribosomal RNA". It matches the Rfam family "Bacterial small subunit ribosomal RNA", at positions 338 to 795 of the family's 1533-position model. The record is from RNAcentral.
CCUACGUGAGGCUGCAGUGGGGAAUAUUGCACAAUGGGGGGAACCCUGAUGCAGCGACGCCGCGUGAGUGAAGAAGUAUUUCGGUAUGUAAAGCUCUAUCAGCAGGGAAGAAAAUGACGGUACCUGACUAAGAAGCCCCGGCUAACUACGUGCCAGCAGCCGCGGUAAUACGUAGGGGGCAAGCGUUAUCCGGAUUUACUGGGUGUAAAGGGAGCGUAGACGGUUAUGCAAGUCUGAAGUGAAAGCCCGGGGCUCAACCACGGGACUGCUUUUGAAACUGUAUAGCUGGAGUGCAGGAGAGGCAAGUGGAAUUCCUAGUGUAGCGGUGAAAUGCGUAGAUAUUAGGAGGAACACCAGUGGCGAAGGCGGCUUGCUGGACUGUAACUGACGUUGAGGCUCGAAGGCGUGGGGAGCAAACAGGAUUAGAUACCCCAGUAGUC